UAACCGCAUAACGUCGCAAGACCAAAGAGGGGGACCUUCGGGCCUCUUGCCAUCGGAUGUGCCCAGAUGGGAUUAGCUAGUAGGUGGGGUAAAGGCUCACCUAGGCGACGAUCCCUAGCUGGUCUGAGAGGAUGAACACACUGGAACUGAGACACGGUCCAGACUCCUACGGGAGGCAGCAGUGGGGAAUAUUGCACAAUGGGCGCAAGCCUGAUGCAGCCAUGCCGCGUGUAAAGAAGGCCUUCGGGUUGUAAAGUACUUUCAGCGGGGAGGAAGGGAGUAAAGUUAAUACCUUUGCUCAUUGACGUUACCCGCAGAAGAAGCACCGGCUAACUCCGUGAGCAGCCGCGGUAAUACGGAGGGUGCAAGCGUUAAUCGGAAUUACUGGGCGUAAAGCGCACGCAGGCUUUGUUAAGUCAGAUGUGAAAUCCCCGGGCUCAACCUGGGAACUGCAUCUGAUACUGGCAAGCUUGACUCGUAGAGGGGUAGAAUUCCAGGUGUAGCGGUGAAAUGCGUAGAGAUCUGGAGGAAUACCGGUGGCGAAGGCGGCCCUGGACGAAGACUGACGCUCAGGUGCGAAAGCGUGGGGAGCAAACAGGAUUAGAUACCCUGAGUCCACGCCGUAAACGAUGUCGACUUGGAGGUUGUGCCCUUGAGGCGUGGCUUCCGGAGCUAACGCGUUAAGUCGACCGCCUGGGGAGUACGGCCGCAAGGUUAAAACUCAAAUGAAUUGACGGGGGCCCGCACACGGUGGAGCAUGUGGUUUAAUUCGAUGCAACGCGAAGAACCUUACCUGGUCUUGACAUCCACGGAAGUUGAGAUGAGAAUGUGCCUUCGGGAACCGUGAGACAGGUGCUGCAUGGCUGUCGUCAGCUCGUGUUGUGAAAUGUUGGGUUAAGUCCCGCAACGAGCGCAACCCUUAUCCUUUGUUGCCAGCGGUCCGGCCGGGCUCAAAGGAGACUGCCAGUGAUAAACUGGAUGAAGGUGGAUGA
Molecule: ribosomal RNA, 992 nt
Filed under: Escherichia coli
Lineage: Bacteria; Pseudomonadati; Pseudomonadota; Gammaproteobacteria; Enterobacterales; Enterobacteriaceae
Description: bacterial SSU rRNA
Rfam family: Bacterial small subunit ribosomal RNA
Source: RNAcentral